GCUCCAGUAGCUCAGGGGACAGAGCAUUGGUUUCCUAAACCAAGUGUCGCAGGUUCGAAUCCUGCCUGGAGCG
Molecule: transfer RNA, 73 nt
Filed under: Chloroflexota bacterium
Lineage: Bacteria; Bacillati; Chloroflexota
Description: Chloroflexi bacterium tRNA-Arg
Rfam family: tRNA
About the family: Transfer RNA (tRNA) molecules are approximately 80 nucleotides in length. Their secondary structure includes four short double-helical elements and three loops (D, anti-codon, and T loops).
Source: RNAcentral